UAGAAAAAAAUCAGGUCUUAUAUAUGUAGAUGUAUAUGUGACUGUGAAGGACUUUAAAAGAAAAAGAUUCCCUGAUUCAAAGGGUAACUAAUACGACCGUUUCAGUUCAAGUUAAUUAUUGCUUAUUUUGGUUCUAUGAAUCUUCACAAAGAAACCUAGUCGACUAGUCUUUUGUUCAUUGUUUAGAUAAUAGUGCGUCUAGUUUGGUAGGAGGGACUUUGAUGAGACUAAUAUUGUUAUAAAAACUGUGAUGAAGGAUCAAGAAGGAAUAAGAGCAAACAGACCUGCAGACAUUGAGCCAGCAAAAGU
Arabidopsis thaliana (thale cress) is the source of this 309-nucleotide long non-coding RNA. RefSeq annotates it as other RNA. Lineage: Eukaryota; Viridiplantae; Streptophyta; Magnoliopsida; Brassicales; Brassicaceae. The transcript has a single exon. The record is from RefSeq.